RNAcentral lists this ribosomal RNA (548 nucleotides) under uncultured bacterium. RNAcentral's name for it is "bacterial SSU rRNA". It matches the Rfam family "Bacterial small subunit ribosomal RNA", at positions 962 to 1509 of the family's 1533-position model. The record is from RNAcentral.
CGAAGAACCUUACCUGGUCUUGACAUAGUAAGAACUUUCCAGAGAUGGAUUGGUGCCUUCGGGAACUUACAUACAGGUGCUGCAUGGCUGUCGUCAGUUCGUGUCGUGAGAUGUUGGGUUAAGUCCCGCAACGAGCGCAACCCUUUUCCUUAUUUGCCAGCGGGUUAAGCCGGGAACUUUAAGGAUACUGCCAGUGACAAACUGGAGGAAGGCGGGGACGACGUCAAGUCAUCAUGGCCCUUACGACCAGGGCUACACACGUGCUACAAUGGUCGGUACAAAGGGUUGCUACCUAGCGAUAGGAUGCUAAUCUCAAAAAGCCGAUCGUAGUCCGGAUUGGAGUCUGCAACUCGACUCCAUGAAGUCGGAAUCGCUAGUAAUCGCGGAUCAGAAUGCCGCGGUGAAUACGUUCCCGGGCCUUGUACACACCGCCCGUCACACCAUGGGAAUUUGUUGCACCAGAAGUAGGUAGUCUAACCGCAAGGAGGACGCUUACCACGGUGUGGCCGAUGACUGGGGUGAAGUCGUAACAAGGUAAGCGUAGAUGA